GACGGAGGAUGCAAGCGUUAUCCGGAAUGAUUUGGCGUAAAGCGUCCGCAGGUGGCAGUUCCAGUCUGCUGUCAAAGACCGGGGCUUAACUUCGGAAAGGCAGUGGAAACUGAACAGCUAGAGUAUGGUAGGGGCAGAGGGAAUUCCUGGUGUAGCGGUGAAAUGCGUAGAGAUCAGGAAGAACAUCGGUGGCGAAGGCGCUCUGCUGGACCAUAACUGACACUCAGGGACGAAAGCUAGGGGAGCGAAUGGG
This 253-nucleotide ribosomal RNA is filed under the name uncultured bacterium. RNAcentral's name for it is "partial 16S ribosomal RNA". It matches the Rfam family "Bacterial small subunit ribosomal RNA", at positions 524 to 776 of the family's 1533-position model. The record is from RNAcentral.